Rhododendron vialii is the source of this 1767-nucleotide long non-coding RNA. RefSeq lists it as uncharacterized. Lineage: Eukaryota; Viridiplantae; Streptophyta; Magnoliopsida; Ericales; Ericaceae. The record is from RefSeq and is a predicted model, not a curated record. The transcript has 2 exons.
CAUUUCAUUGUGUUGUAUGUAGUGGCUAUAUAUCUCCGGAGUAUGCAAUAGAUGGGCUCUUCUCCGUAAAAUCUGAUGUCUUUAGCUUCGGUGUUUUGGUUUUGGAGAUCGUGAGUGGCAAGAAGAACAGAGGAUUUACCAUCCCAUGACCACAACCUUUUGGGACAUGCAUGGAAACUAUGGAAUGAAGGAAAACCCUUGAAUCUGGCAGAUGCUAUAUAUGAUGGAGGGUCUAAUUCCCACACCAUAAGUGGUAAGAUGUAUUCAAAUUGCCCUCUUGUGUGUUCAAGACUGUCCUGAAGAUAGACUGACUAUGUUAGUGUUUUGUUAAUGUUAGAUAGUGAAAACGCAAUUCUGCCGCCUCCUAAACAAUUAACCUGGGUUUUACACAAUAAGGUUUUCUCCCAGGACGGACUCUUCGUCAACUGGUAUAUAUCCUCUCGCUUCAAAUGAAGUAACAAUAUCAGUGCUUCAUGCUAGAUAAAUGGGAUUUUUGUCCUAAAACCUUGUAAAGAAACUUCUUCAUAAAUUGUUUUUCAGUAGUUCUACUUUUUCUCUACGAAACUCUAAAAUUUGUUAUUAGCUUCAUUAUGUUUUCGAUACAACAGUUGUCCUCUUACCCAAGGUUUUAAUUGGGCGGUAGCAAAUCGAUCGUGUAUCCAUAACGGUAGCAAACCGCGUAGGAAGUAUCGAAUGACAUGUAGCAAGAAUCAGGUGUAGGGGUUGUGGAUUUCAACGAGUUGGCCUCUUACCCAAGGAUUUUGGGGAUAUUAUAUAUGUUUAAUUAUUUUUAAAAGACGUAUAUAUUUUGUACGAAUACUCAUUCCGUCCCAAAAAGAUUGUUCGGUCUGUAAAAUGAGAACUUAAAAAAUGCAUUUUAGAUCAAAAAAUUAUUAUUAUUAUUUUUUGCAGUAUACUAUAUCUUAAUGAGUUCUUUUUAAUUUUAAAAGAAUCAAUUUAUUCAAAUAAUAUAGUCUUUUCAACUUCAGUUGGGUGAAUUAGGUGUUCAUUUUGAGAUGGAAGAACCAGUAUAUUAGUACUAGUAAUUAUUUUUAGGUGUCAAGUCCACGUUCAAAUCCUAACUUCCUUGUGUUACUGCAGAAUGCAAGGCUUUCUAUAUACAAAGAUGUGGACGUGACUUAUAACUACUCACAACCAAAAUUUUGUUCUUAUCAUCAGUACAAUAGAAUGGUGGUAUAUAGUAAUACCCGUUCACUAAAUUGCUCAUAUUUAUUUUAAGUGACAAUGUCAGCAAUCCCACUUGACUCGAUCGUAUUUAUACAGUAAUAAAUUGGAAGCCAACUUGGAAUGAGAGUUACUGGUACAUGCAAUCAAGGGAAGAAAAUCAAGUGUGACUGGUAUAUAUGGCAUGGAAUUAAUGAGAGUGACUUGGUACAAUCAAGGGUGGAAAAUGAAUGGUACUACAAACAUGUACGCUAGCUUGACAAGUGAUGCAAAGGAAAGUGAACAACGAUCGGGCGAGAUGUGAACAUGGGUGGCGGUUGAGUAGAAUAGAUUCGUGGUGUCUAUAUUCAUGGUGUGCGAGAAGUGUGAAAGGGAGAAAAUGGUGUAGUUGCAGGAGGAAGAAAGAACGGGCAGUGAACGUGGGUGGCGCACGGUUGAGUGAGUAAAUGUCUAUUUAGUUUUCUAAGCUUACUUUUCUCUGGUAGUUAUGUUUUUGCAGGGGUAAGAGUGUCAAACACUUUUGUAAUUGGGCUUCAAAAUUUUGGUUAUACCAAAUGGUGCUCCCCAUUAUAUAGUAGAAUA